UGCAGUCGAACGGAAGGCCCUUCGGGGUACUCGAGUGGCGAACGGGUGAGUAACACGUGGGUGAUCUGCCCUGCACUCUGGGAUAAGCCUGGGAAACUGGGUCUAAUACCGGAUAGGACCACACACUUCAUGGUGAGUGGUGCAAAGCUUUUGCGGUGUGGGAUGAGCCCGCGGCCUAUCAGCUUGUUGGUGGGGUAAUGGCCCACCAAGGCGACGACGGGUAGCCGGCCUGAGAGGGUGACCGGCCACACUGGGACUGAGAUACGGCCCAGACUCCUACGGGAGGCAGCAGUGGGGAAUAUUGCACAAUGGGCGCAAGCCUGAUGCAGCGACGCCGCGUGAGGGAUGACGGCCUUCGGGUUGUAAACCUCUUUCAGUAGGGACGAAGCGAAAGUGACGGUACCUACAGAAGAAGGACCGGCCAACUACGUGCCAGCAGCCGCGGUAAUACGUAGGGUCCGAGCGUUGUCCGGAAUUACUGGGCGUAAAGAGCUCGUAGGUGGUUUGUCGCGUUGUUCGUGAAAACUCACAGCUUAACUGUGGGCGUGCGGGCGAUACGGGCAGACUAGAGUACUGCAGGGGAGACUGGUAUUCCUGGUGUAGCGGUGGAAUGCGCAUAUAUCAGGAGGAACACCGGUGGCGAAGGCGG
Molecule: ribosomal RNA, 649 nt
Filed under: Mycobacteroides abscessus
Lineage: Bacteria; Bacillati; Actinomycetota; Actinomycetes; Mycobacteriales; Mycobacteriaceae
Description: bacterial SSU rRNA
Rfam family: Bacterial small subunit ribosomal RNA
Source: RNAcentral